Molecule: long non-coding RNA, 659 nt
Filed under: Homo sapiens (human)
Lineage: Eukaryota; Metazoa; Chordata; Mammalia; Primates; Hominidae
Description: non-protein coding lnc-FAM170B-4:1
Source: RNAcentral
GGGAUCCUCAGCAUUCUGCUCUUCAUGCUGGUCAUCGUCUGGCAGUCUGUGUUUAACAAGCGGAAAUCCAGAGUGAGACAUUAUUUGGUGAAAUGCCCUCAGAACAGGUAAGAAUAUUUUCUUCCUUUUUUCAGAUGAAACUCUUUGCCAUUUAACUUUCUUUUGAUAUUACCAAUAAAUUGAUUAAAUUUGUAGUUUUACCUAAAAGUCUGCAUAUUUGUCCACAAAUAUGCCUGCAAAUGUGUAUCCUGCAUGCAUUUGCAUGUUUCCAAGGUCUACAGUCUGGUUUUCACCCCCAGGGAUCCAGAGAGCAUGCAGCUUUUGCUGGCCCAGCAGGCUUGCUGGAGGAGGCUUGGUGUAUGGUCCUGCAGAGCUGCUCCCCAGUUUAGGAAGGGGCUCACACUUGCUCUGAACCACUUUGAUACAUUUUGACCACAAACACCCCCAAUUCUCUUCACCAAUGCUGACUUACUGUAUGCCCUGCUUUUAGCUGGUGAGGCACACUUUAUAGGUAACAUAAUAGUUAUAAGAGAUAGUGCUAAUUCAAAGCGUUUAAAAAUUUGGGACUUCUGAUCCAGACAAGAUGGCAUAGGUCAAUUUCUUCCUUCUCUUUCCUGCUGAGUAAAGCUUUAAACCUUGGAAAUAACAUAAGAGACAAC